GGAAUCAAUGAAAAUAUCUGAUCUAUCAACUAGUUGGUAGUAUAGAGGACUACCAAGGUUAUAACGGAUAACGAGAAAUUAGGGUUUGACAUCGGAGAAGGAGCUUUCAAAAUGGCUACUACUUCUAAGGAAGGCAGCAGGCGCGUAAAUUACCCACUUUUAACAGAAAGAGGUAGUGACGACAAAUAACUCUAUUCUUUAACAAAAAGAAUUGAAGGAAUGAACGGAACGUACAUAGUUUUGUGAAAGCAAUUGGAGGGCAAGUCUGGUGCCAGCAGCCGCGGUAAUUCCAGCUCCAAUAGUAUAUAUUAAAGUUGUUGUGAUUAAAAGGCUCGUAGUUGAAUGAAGAUACUAUUGAAAAGGCUUUUCUUUUUAUACAAAAAGAGAAGUUUAGUUAAACAAUAGAAGAAGGAAAUGGAUUACUUUGAAUAAAAUAGAGUGUUUAAAGCAAAACAAUGUUAAUGAAUAAUGAAGCAUGGGACAAUAAGAAGGAGAUUUGAAAGGAUUUCGAGAAGAAGAUUAAAAGGAAUAAUUGGGGUAAUUUAGAAAAAGAUGGGAGAGGUGAAAAUCCAUGAUCAUCUUUAGAUAAACGAGAGCGAAAGCAUUUUACUCAAUUAUAUUCAUU
RNAcentral lists this ribosomal RNA (625 nucleotides) under Entamoeba gingivalis. RNAcentral's name for it is "bacterial SSU rRNA". It matches the Rfam family "Eukaryotic small subunit ribosomal RNA", at positions 290 to 974 of the family's 1831-position model. Lineage: Eukaryota; Evosea; Mastigamoebida; Endamoebidae. The record is from RNAcentral.